CCGGGGCGGAAAGUGGGUCAGGGCCGGGCCGGCGGAGCGCGCAGCGGGGGCUACAGAUUCUUUCCACCAUGGCCAGACGCCCCCGGAACAGCAGGGCCUGGCACUUCGUCCUGAGUGCAGCCCGCCGAGACGCAGAUGCCCGGGCCGUGGCUCUAGCAGGCUCCACCAACUGGGGCUACGACUCUGAUGGGCAGCACAGUGACUCGGACUCCGACCCCGAGUACUCCACGCUGCCGCCAUCCAUCCCCAGUGCGGUGCCCGUGACCGGCGAGUCCUUCUGUGACUGUGCUGGGCAGGGUGAGGCCUCCUCCUGUAGCAGCCUGCACGCGGCCCACCGGGGCAAGGACUGCCGCUGCGGAGAGGAAGACGAGUGUGAGCGUGGGGCCCAGCCCCUGCUGGGACUGCACUGCGGGUGGGCCUGGGAGCGGGCAGGGCAGAGCCCCAUGGAGCUCUCGGGGCUGCCCCAGCCUGGGCCUCUCUUGCAGAUUUCGACUGGGUCUGGGAUGACUUGAAUAAGUCAUCAGCUACCCUGCUGAGCUGUGACAACCGUAAGGUCAGCUUCCACAUGGAGUACAGCUGCGGCACAGCGGCCAUCCGGGGCACCAAGGAGCUGGGGGAGGGCCAGCACUUCUGGGAGAUCAAGAUGACCUCACCCGUCUAUGGCACCGACAUGAUGGUGGGCAUCGGGACGUCGGAUGUGGACCUGGACAAAUACCGCCACACGUUCUGCAGCCUGCUGGGCAGGGAUGAGGACAGCUGGGGCCUCUCCUACACGGGUGCGUGAGGCCCAGGGUGGGGCGGGGCUGAGCCUGGAGCUCCUGGGCUCACUGCAACCCCGGCUGCCCCCAGGCCUCCUCCACCACAAGGGCGACAAGACCAGCUUCUCGUCGCGGUUUGGCCAGGGCUCCAUCAUUGGCGUACACCUGGACACCUGGCAUGGCACGCUCACCUUUUUCAAGAAUAGGAAGUGCAUAGGUGUGGCAGCCACCAAGCUGCAGAACAAGAGGUUCUACCCGAUGGUGUGCUCCACGGCGGCCCGGAGCAGCAUGAAGGUCACCCGCUCCUGCGCCAGCGCCACCUCCCUCCAGUACCUCUGCUGCCACCGCCUGCGCCAGCUGCGGCCAGACUCGGGGGACACGCUGGAGGGUCUGCCGCUGCCGCCAGGCCUCAAGCAGGUGCUACACAACAAGCUGGGCUGGGUCCUGAGCAUGAGUUGCAGCCGCCGCAAGGCUCCAGUGUCCGAUCCCCAGGCAGCGACCUCGGCCCACCCCAGCAGUCGUGAGCCUCGGCCCUGCCAGAGGAAGCGCUGCCGUCGGACCUGACUGACUUCCCAGUGGAACUGCCUUCUCAGGCUGGGACAGCCGUUUUCUCUAUCCCUUCCUUCCAGCCACACUCCAGGGCGGAGUUGGAUGAGGCCCGUCCGGAGGGAGCCAUCUCUUGCUCCCAAGGCUGGGACAGUCCUUUCUGUGGGGGCUCUAGGGCCCCUCUGCUGCUGUGCUGGGUGGGGAAGCGGCUGCCCUGAGCCCCAGGUCUUGUGGGAGGCCGCGAGGAGAGCCUGGCUGGAGCCCGCGUUGCUGUUCCCACAGGGCCUCGGGUUUUUCGUAACUUGCUCUGCAUGCUGUCAGCGGCUGCCCCGCCGUCAUAGACUUAAAGGACUGCAAUAAAUGUAGAAUUGAUGUCUGA
This 1683-nucleotide small RNA is filed under the name Pongo abelii (Sumatran orangutan). Its description in RNAcentral is "retained intron". Lineage: Eukaryota; Metazoa; Chordata; Mammalia; Primates; Hominidae. The record is from RNAcentral.